AUGACAAAGGGAGUGUCAUCAUCUAGAAAGUGGUGCGAUAAGAUGCACAGCUAGUGCUGCCCUGUGACUCUAACUCCUUCAAAAGUCCGCCUGUGGCAAACGCGGCUACCCUCCCAAGCCAAGAUAAAGUAUAAUUGGAGUGCCGAGGCUAAAAAAUAUACCAGUGGGACUGGUCGAAUGAGGCACUUAAAAAUUGUGUACAGCAGGUUAAGGCAUGGAUUUUUUAAAGGAAUGCCACCUAAACCCAAGAGGACAGCUGCUGCAGCAUCCAGUUCAUCU
This 279-nucleotide long non-coding RNA is filed under the name Homo sapiens (human). RNAcentral's name for it is "non-protein coding lnc-WDPCP-9:1". The record is from RNAcentral. Lineage: Eukaryota; Metazoa; Chordata; Mammalia; Primates; Hominidae.